UGCCAGCCGCCGCGGUAAUACGGAGGGGGUUAGCGUUGUUCGGAAUUACUGGGCGUAAAGCGUGUGUAGGCUGCGCGGAAAGUCAAAUGUGAAAGCCCGGGGCUCAACCUCGGAACUGCAUUCGAUACUCCCGUGCUAGAGUAAUGGAGAGGUAAGUGGAAUUCCUGGUGUAGCAGUGAAAUGCGUGGAUAUCAGGAGGAACAUCAAUGGCGAAGGCAACUUACUGGACAUUUACUGACGCUCAGACGCGGAGGCUAGGGUAGCGAAAGGGAUUAGAUA
Molecule: ribosomal RNA, 279 nt
Filed under: uncultured bacterium
Lineage: Bacteria
Description: partial 16S ribosomal RNA
Rfam family: Bacterial small subunit ribosomal RNA
Source: RNAcentral